This is a non-coding RNA of Mycena leptocephala, 91 nucleotides long. Lineage: Eukaryota; Fungi; Basidiomycota; Agaricomycetes; Agaricales; Mycenaceae. The record is from the annotation of a GenBank genome assembly.
GCGGAUAUGGUGCGCGGUGCACCACUGCAUUUCAUUAGGAUCUGGAAAUAAAAUUGAAGCAGUUGCUGGGGUUCGACUCCCCGUGUCCGCA